ACGUUGGCGGCGUGCCUAACACAUGCAAUGUCGAACGGAGUUUACUCGCUGAUGAAGCUUCGGCAGAAUCUUGAGUAAACUUAGUGGCGGACGGGUGAGUAACGCGUGGGCAACCUGCCUCAUACUGGGGGAUAACAGUUGGAAACGACUGUUAAUACCGCAUAAGCGCACAGAGUCGCAUGACUCAGUGUGAAAAACUCCGGUGGUAUGAGAUGGGCCCGCGUCAGAUUAGCCAGUUGGCGGGGUAACGGCCCACCAAAGCGACGAUCUGUAGCCGGACUGAGAGGUCGGACGGCCACAUUGGGACUGAGACACGGCCCAAACUCCUACGGGAGGCAGCAGUGGGGGAUAUUGCACAAUGGAGGAAACUCUGAUGCAGCGACGCCGCGUGAGUGAAGAAGUAUUUCGGUAUGUAAAGCUCUAUCAGCAGGGAAGAAAGGCUCGCAAGAGAGAUGACGGUACCU
This 464-nucleotide ribosomal RNA is filed under the name Butyrivibrio fibrisolvens. RNAcentral describes it as "bacterial SSU rRNA". It matches the Rfam family "Bacterial small subunit ribosomal RNA", at positions 33 to 480 of the family's 1533-position model. Lineage: Bacteria; Bacillati; Bacillota; Clostridia; Lachnospirales; Lachnospiraceae. The record is from RNAcentral.